AGUGCCCCUUCCAGCCUGUAAGCUUGGAUGCAUCGAAUAAUAGAAAUAGGACCCUCGCCUCUAUUUUGUUGGUUUUCGGAAUCCGAUGUAAAUGAUCAAUGGGGACAGGCGGGGGCAUUCGUAUGCGACGUUAGAUGUGAAACUAUCGCCUCGUCGCAAGACGGACCGAAGGGAAAGCAUUUGCCAAGUAUGUUCUCGUCGAUCAAGAACGAAAAGUUAGAGGUUCGAAGGCGAUCAGAUACCCGCCUUUAGUUCUAACCAUAAACUAUGCCUGCCAGCGAUCCGCCGAAGUUCCUCCGAUGACUCGGCGGGCAGCUUCCGGGAAACCAGAGCUUUUGGGUUCCGGGGGAAGUAUGGUUGCAAAGAUGAAACUUAAAGGAAUUGACGGAAGGGCACCACCAGGAGUGGAGCCUGCGGCUUAAUUUGACUCAACACGGGAAAACUCACCAGGCCCGGACACCGGAAGGAUUGACAGAUUGAGAGCUCUUUCCUGAUUCGGUGGGUGGUGGUGCAUGGCCGUUCUUAGUUGGUGGAGCGAUUUGUAUGGUUAAUUCCGAUAACGAACGAGACUUUAGCCUACUAACUAGGCGUACCCGGUAUCCACAAUCGUGCUACCGGCGAUCAAAUUUUUUUUUAGAGGGACAGGCGGGUUUUAGCCGCACGAGACUGAGCAAUAACAGGUCUGUGAUGCCCUUAGAUGUCCUGGGCCGCACGCGCGCUACCAAGAAGGAGUCCGCCUCUUUUCCCUGUCGGAAAGGACCGGGAAUUCUAAGGGGCCUCCCCUCUUUAGGGAUUGGGGCUUGCGAUUUUUCCCCCCCUGGGGGGGGGACCCCCCCCCUCG
This 841-nucleotide ribosomal RNA is filed under the name Pochazia shantungensis. RNAcentral's name for it is "partial small subunit ribosomal RNA". It matches the Rfam family "Eukaryotic small subunit ribosomal RNA", at positions 770 to 1599 of the family's 1831-position model. The record is from RNAcentral. Lineage: Eukaryota; Metazoa; Arthropoda; Insecta; Hemiptera; Ricaniidae.